AUCCAGCUGGACGACGAGUCCCAAAUAGGACGAAAUGCGCUUUAUCCUGGAU
Non-coding RNA from Trichobilharzia regenti, 52 nucleotides. NCBI's taxonomy places the organism in Eukaryota, Metazoa, Platyhelminthes, Trematoda, Strigeidida, Schistosomatidae. The record is from Rfam.